Molecule: ribosomal RNA, 255 nt
Filed under: uncultured Rhodocyclaceae bacterium
Lineage: Bacteria; Pseudomonadati; Pseudomonadota; Betaproteobacteria; Rhodocyclales; Rhodocyclaceae
Description: partial 16S ribosomal RNA
Rfam family: Bacterial small subunit ribosomal RNA
Source: RNAcentral
UUGUAGGGCACUCUAAUGAGACUGCCGGUGACAAACCGGAGGAAGGUGGGGAUGACGUCAAGUCCUCAUGGCCCUUAUGGGUAGGGCUUCACACGUCAUACAAUGGUCGGUACAGAGGGUUGCCAACCCGCGAGGGGGAGCUAAUCCCACAAAGCCGAUCGUAGUCCGGAUCGCAGUCUGCAACUCGACUGCGUGAAGUCGGAAUCGCUAGUAAUCGUGGAUCAGCAUGUCACGGUGAAUACGUUCCCGGGUCUU